CAAACAGGUGCUGUGGUUAUACUCCACUUCCUUCCGCUCAGCAGAAGCUCAAAAGGCACUUUCCGAAAAGUGGAAGAUGUGCACACAAAUAAGGAAAACAGAUCAUAAACUUUGAAAAGCUAAGCGUAUGACUGCACUGAGGUCGGAAAGAAGAAUGAGAAGCAACCUGCAAAAGUCUGCCAGCUGUUUCAGGACAGCUAAACACCCCGUCUGCCAGGAGCUUGUCACCUCUAACUCUGCCCUUUACUUACUAAGCUCCACAUGUGUGCAGAACAGUCAGCAAGUGAGCUCAUAAUUUCCAACCACCUACACCAAGGAACUGAAACAAGAUGCAUCUAUAACACUUCCACGUGAUGAAAUGCAAACACGGAAG
Molecule: long non-coding RNA, 373 nt
Organism: Columba livia (rock pigeon)
Lineage: Eukaryota; Metazoa; Chordata; Aves; Columbiformes; Columbidae
Exons: 3
Source: RefSeq, a predicted model, not a curated record